Molecule: ribosomal RNA, 385 nt
Filed under: uncultured bacterium
Lineage: Bacteria
Description: bacterial SSU rRNA
Rfam family: Bacterial small subunit ribosomal RNA
Source: RNAcentral
AACGAACGUUAGCGGCGCGCUUAACACAUGCAAGUCGAGCGAGAAAGGGGCAACCCCGGUAAAGCGGCGCACGGGUGAGUAACACGUAGGUAAUCUACCUCCAGGUGGUGGAUAACCUUCCGAAAGGAGGGCUAAUACAGCAUGAGACCACGGUUCCGAAAGGGACAGGGGUCAAAGUCGGCCUCUUCAUGAAAGCUGACGCCAGGAGAUGAGCCUGCGGCCCAUCACGGUAGUUGGUAGGGUAAUGGCCUACCAAGCCAAAGACGGGUAGCUGGUCUGAGAGGAUGAUCAGCCACACUGGAACUGAGACACGGUCCAGACUCCUACGGGAGGCAGCAGUGGGGAAUCUUGCGCAAUGGGCGAAAGCCUGACGCAGCGACGCCGC